AGUGAACGCUGGCGGUAAGCCUAACACAUGCAAGUCGAACGGCAGCACAGGAGAGCUUGCUCUCUGGGUGGCGAGUGGCGGACGGGUGAGGAAUACAUCGGAAUCUACUUUUUCGUGGGGGAUAACGUAGGGAAACUUACGCUAAUACCGCAUACGACCUACGGGUGAAAGCAGGGGACCUUCGGGCCUUGCGCGAUUGAAUGAGCCGAUGUCGGAUUAGCUAGUUGGCGGGGGAAAGGCCCACCAAGGCGACGAUCCGUAGCUGGUCUGAGAGGAUGAUCAGCCACACUGGAACUGAGACACGGUCCAGACUCCUACGGGAGGCAGCAGUGGGGAAUAUUGGACAAUGGGCGCAAGCCUGAUCCAGCCAUACCGCGUGGGUGAAGAAGGCCUUCGGGUUGUAAAGCCCUUUUGUUGGGAAAGAAAUCCAGCUGGCUAAUACCCGGUUGGGAUGACGGUACCCAAAGAAUAAGCACCGGCUAACUUCGUGCCAGCAGCCGCGGUAA
This 506-nucleotide ribosomal RNA is filed under the name uncultured bacterium. RNAcentral's name for it is "partial 16S ribosomal RNA". It matches the Rfam family "Bacterial small subunit ribosomal RNA", at positions 29 to 523 of the family's 1533-position model. The record is from RNAcentral.